Molecule: ribosomal RNA, 465 nt
Filed under: uncultured bacterium
Lineage: Bacteria
Description: partial 16S ribosomal RNA
Rfam family: Bacterial small subunit ribosomal RNA
Source: RNAcentral
GACGAACGCUGGCGGCGUGCUUAACACAUGCAAGUCGUACGGUAAGGCCCUUUCGGGGGUACACGAGUGGCGAACGGGGGAGUAACACGUGAUUACCCGGCCCCCACCUUGGGGAUAAGGCUAGGAACUGGGUGCUAAAACUGAAAAUGUGUUCCUGCGCCAGGGGGGGGGUGGGAAAGUUCCGGCGGUUGUGGAUGGACUCGCGGCCUAUCAGCUUGUUGGUGGGGUAGUGGCCUACCAAGGCGGCGACGGGUAGCCGGCCUGAGAGGGUGACCGGCCACAUUGGGACUGAGAUACGGCCCAGACGCCUACGGGAGGCAGCAGUGGGGAAGAUUGCACAAUGGGCGCAAGCCUGAUGCAGCAACGCCGCGUGCGGGAUGACGGCCUUCGGGUUGUAAACCGCUUUCAGCAGGGACGAAGCUUUUUGUGACGGUACCUGCAGAAGAAGCACCGGCUAACUACGUG